Molecule: long non-coding RNA, 1234 nt
Filed under: Setaria viridis
Lineage: Eukaryota; Viridiplantae; Streptophyta; Magnoliopsida; Poales; Poaceae
Description: long non-coding RNA (SVIR_LNC002224)
Source: RNAcentral
GUUAAUCUUGAUGCAUGGUUACUUUAUGUUAUUUUAAUAAUGAUGGAUGCAAUAAGUAAUUUAGAUGCAAAUUUAGAGAGUUAUUUUAAAUAAUUUUAUAUAAUGACAUUGGUGGGUAAUUUAAAUAAAAAUUAGAGGUUACUUUAGGUUAUUUUGUAUAAUGACAUAUUUGACUAAGUUUGACAUAGAUUUUGAGGGUUACUUUAGAGUACUUUUAUAAUGGCAUAUGCGGAUAUUUGUUUUAGAAAAACAAUGAUUAGAGAGAAUAUUUCUAUGGCACGAGAUGAUCUUUUGACCUAGGCUUCAUGCGACUUACUUGAUACAUAGAUAACUAUUAAGCUUAUUCUCUACUUAUGCUUACUUCGGAGGCACAACGGAUUUGUUCAAAUAGGGACGAAGAGGGAAUGAAAGCAAAGACUGCAACUCAAGCACUGUUAACUAGUUCUAAUGUUGUUGAUUCCAAGGGAAAGAUAGAGCUGCCACCAUCUGCUACCUACGGCACAUCUGAGGUCUUACUUGUUGCAAACCUAGAUAAUUCUUAAGUCCUAGAUACACCAUGUAUACACUCAAAAUUAUCACCUUAACUCUCACACGAUGUAAGGUAGAGAAACCACCAUUAAACAAAGAAUUUAUCAUGCUUUAUUUAUUUAAAUAAUAUCUUCAUGCCACCUGUCUAAAGGAUGAGGUCUCUACUCUCAGUGGAGCAUCCAAGACAGAAGGUAGAAGAAGAGCCGACAUCUCCGCCUCCUUCACAUAUACUUAUACCUCUUAUUCUCACUCACCAAAACUAUUUUCUAUGUGAUGAGCAUGUCACUUGUAUUCUUCUUCUUCACCAUGUUUGAAAAUGGCGUAGUGUUGCUCCUUAUAUAGGGUGUAGAGAGGCGGUAGAGAUGGGGAGCACCCCUAUGUAGGCUGGCUAGUGGAGCAUAGCAUCGGCCAUCCCUUGAUUUGGGUUGGGUUAGCUGCACACCCUCUUGGCUCACUUCCUAGGUUGGUGGUUAAGGAGGUGAGGUGGUUUAUGGUUGGUGAGAAACCAACAUUUGAGGUAGGUAACUCCAAGUGGAGCCGUCCGGGCUAUGAGAUUGCACCGCUGGUCCUACUAUUUUGUUUCUUUUUUGCCUUUUCUGUCCAAAAUUCCUACAACGAUUUGAAAUAUAAACUCUUGGAACUUUAUUAGUAAUGAAGGGAGAACAUGAAAAAAACACACAUCUUAUUUACUCCCCCUUCCUGCUUU